Long non-coding RNA from Bolinopsis microptera, 236 nucleotides. RefSeq lists it as uncharacterized. The record is from RefSeq and is a predicted model, not a curated record. NCBI's taxonomy places the organism in Eukaryota, Metazoa, Ctenophora, Tentaculata, Lobata, Bolinopsidae. The transcript is spliced from 3 exons.
ACUCUUCAGAUUAUUUGAUAAUCAUGAGAAUGAAUACCGACAGGUUUUGCCUUGGAACACUCCUUCAUGUGACUUACCUGUUGUUGUAGGUUUAUACAACCCCCGGAAGUACAGACAACAAAGCAGACAUAAUCUGGAAUAUCGAUAACCUCUAAAGCUCUAAGAGGACCCAAAAUAAAAGCAACUCCUGGAGGCUGGGAUUAUGAAAGAUUUUCACGAAACUCACGCCAGCUGCU